GAUGAACGCUGGCGGCAUGCCUAAGACAUGCAAGUCGAACGAGACGGCCCAAUGAAGACUGCGUACUUGUACAAAGUCGGAUUUGGAUUCCCGUCUAGUGGCGCAAGGGUGAGUAACACGUGGGUUAUCUACCUUCGAGUCUGGAAUAACAGUUAGAAAUGAUUGCUAAUGCCGGAUUAUAUAUAGGAUGGUAUUCUUCCUAUAUUAAAAGGAGCCUUUAAAGCUUCGCUUGAAGAUGAGCCUGCGCCGUAUUAGCUAGUUGGUGGGGUAAAGGCCUACCAAGGCGACGAUGCGUAGCCGACCUGAGAGGGUGAUCGGCCACACUGGGACUGAGACACGGCCCAGACUCCUACGGGAGACAGCAGUUAGGAAUAUUCGUCAAUGGGGGAAACCCUGAACGAGCAAUGCCGCGUGAAGGAUGACGGUCCUAUGGAUUGUAAACUUCUGUUGUUAGGGAAGAACGACCUAGGUAGGAAAUGACCUAGGAGUGACGGUACCUUUCAAGAAAG
This 509-nucleotide ribosomal RNA is filed under the name uncultured bacterium. RNAcentral describes it as "bacterial SSU rRNA". It matches the Rfam family "Bacterial small subunit ribosomal RNA", at positions 28 to 490 of the family's 1533-position model. The record is from RNAcentral.